This 297-nucleotide long non-coding RNA is filed under the name Lathyrus oleraceus (garden pea). RNAcentral's name for it is "Pisum sativum (pea) long non-coding RNA (PSAT_LNC001676)". The record is from RNAcentral. Lineage: Eukaryota; Viridiplantae; Streptophyta; Magnoliopsida; Fabales; Fabaceae.
CAUAGCCUCAAGGAUCAUGAGAAUCUUGGUUCCCUUUGCCUUUGGGUGGGACUCCUUAUGAUUGGUUUGAGAUCACCAAGCAUGCUUGAAUUAUACAUCAUUGUUUCUCUUACUUUUGUUUACUAAAAAAAAAGAAAAAACGAAAAAAAGAAAAAAAAAAGAAAAAAGAAAAACAAAAAUAAAUAAAUAAUCAAAUAAAAUAUAACAAGAAUUUUUUUUGGAGUUGGGCCUCUCUCAUUUGAGCCCAUAGGUCCACAAAAACCAGGUUAUAAAUUCAGAGUUUCAGUAAAACAAAGG